This 240-nucleotide unclassified non-coding RNA is filed under the name soil metagenome. RNAcentral describes it as "partial contains 5.8S ribosomal RNA, internal transcribed spacer 2, and large subunit ribosomal RNA". The record is from RNAcentral.
AACGGUCUAUACCUGCGGUACCUGCGGAGGGAUCAUUAUCCAAACUUUAAAAAAAUUAAAAGAGGAAAGAGACAAACACUGUCUUUUUUCUCUUUUCUUUUCAAACCCCUUGUGUGAAUCUUGCAUAUGUUGGGAUGGCGCGAAAACUAGCUUUUCCCGUCGUCUCAGACACACACCAAACCCUUUUUUAUUUGUCUGAAUGUGAAAAAUGUAAAAAACAACUUUUAACAAUGGAUCUCU